UGAGGAAUUUUCCACAAUGGGCGAAAGCCUGAUGGAGCAAUACCGCGUGUAGGAAGAAGGCCCGUGGGUCGUAAACUACUUUUCUCAGAGAAGAAUAAAUGACGGUAUCUGAGGAAUAAGCUCCGGCUAACUCUGUG
RNAcentral lists this ribosomal RNA (137 nucleotides) under uncultured eukaryote. Its description in RNAcentral is "partial 16S ribosomal RNA". It matches the Rfam family "Bacterial small subunit ribosomal RNA", at positions 355 to 507 of the family's 1533-position model. The record is from RNAcentral.